CUGUUACUGGCUACGGAUUCUAGAAAGAAAGAUGCGUUUACCAGAGAUGUGUCAAAGAUUCAUGUCGUGCUGAAAUUUCGUUAUUCUCUUCGUUGUAUGUACCGAAAUGCUUUCUGCAUUGGCUGAACCAAAUUUGCAUUCCCACCAACAUGUUAGUUACUUCCUUCUAUUGGCCAACCAGUUAUGCUGAAAACAAUGCAUAAGAAGGAAAAGAAAAGAAUUGCAAAAACAAAACAAGCAAGAUUUCAUACAAAAGCAGAGCUG
Molecule: non-coding RNA, 264 nt
Organism: Callorhinus ursinus (northern fur seal)
Lineage: Eukaryota; Metazoa; Chordata; Mammalia; Carnivora; Otariidae
Source: RefSeq, a predicted model, not a curated record